This 370-nucleotide ribosomal RNA is filed under the name uncultured bacterium. RNAcentral's name for it is "bacterial SSU rRNA". It matches the Rfam family "Bacterial small subunit ribosomal RNA", at positions 29 to 430 of the family's 1533-position model. The record is from RNAcentral.
AACGAACGCUGGCGGCAGGCCUAACACAUGCAAGUCGAACGCUCCGCAAGGGAGUGGCGCACGGGUGAGUAACACGUGGGAACCUACCUUCUGGUACGGGACAACCAAGGGAAACUUUGGCUAAGACCGUAUACGACCUCCGGGUGAAGAUUGAUCGCCGGAAGAGGGGCCCGCGUCCGAUUAGGUAGUUGGUGAGGUAACGGCUCACCAAGCCUUCGAUCGGUAGCUGGUCUGAGAGGAUGACCAGCCACACUGGGACUGAGACACGGCCCACGACUCCUACGGGAGGCAGCAGUGGGGAAGUAUUGGACAAUGGGCGCAAGCCUGAUCCAGCCAUGCCGCGUGAGUGAUGAAGGCCUCGGUUGUUAAG